AGUCGGGUUCGAGUCCCGGGCAACCCCA
Molecule: transfer RNA, 28 nt
Filed under: Corymbia maculata
Lineage: Eukaryota; Viridiplantae; Streptophyta; Magnoliopsida; Myrtales; Myrtaceae
Description: partial tRNA-Lys
Source: RNAcentral